GCGCGAAAACUUUACAAUGCGGGAAACCGUGAUAAGGGAAUCUCGAGUGCCAGCAUAUAAUGUUGGCUGUCCAGAUGCCUAAAAAGCAUCUGUUAGCAAGGGCCGGGCAAGACCGGUGCCAGCCGCCGCGGUAACACCGGCGGCCCGAGUGGUAACCGCUUUUAUUGGGUCUAAAGGGUCUGUAGCCGGCCAAGUAAGUCCCUUGGGAAAUCUGGCAGCUCAACUGUCAGGCUGCUAGGGGAUACUGCUAGGCUUGGGACCGGGAGAGGUGAGAGGUACCUUGGGGGUAGGGGUGAAAUCUUGUGAUCCUCGGGGGACCACCAGUGGCGAAGGCGUCUCACCAAAACGGGUCCGACGGUAAGGGACGAAAGCUAGGGGCACGAACCG
RNAcentral lists this ribosomal RNA (387 nucleotides) under uncultured bacterium. RNAcentral's name for it is "bacterial SSU rRNA". It matches the Rfam family "Archaeal small subunit ribosomal RNA", at positions 339 to 726 of the family's 1478-position model. The record is from RNAcentral.